This 321-nucleotide unclassified non-coding RNA is filed under the name Hevea brasiliensis (rubber tree). The record is from RNAcentral. Lineage: Eukaryota; Viridiplantae; Streptophyta; Magnoliopsida; Malpighiales; Euphorbiaceae.
AUGCACACCAUCAAAAUCUUGGGCAAGGUUAAUAUUCUCAUCUUCUCCAUCAUGAAUUUCAUCUUCUUCAUCAUAACCAUCUCCAUCCUCAUCAUAUUCUUCUUGUUCCUGCAACUGCUGACCAUUCUGAAUAGUCCAUUCUUCAUCAUCACCAGUAGAGACGACACUUGAGCCACUCAUCAUAUUCUCUUUCUCAGCUUCUAUGGGUAAGGUUGCAGACUCAUUCACUUGCUCCAAUAAGGCAACAUCUUUACCUUCACUACCUGAUAAUGCCAGAGAAUCUCCAGUUUCAUCCAAGUCAUCAUGAGAUAGAUGAACUGG